GCGGACGUGGUGAAACUGGUAGCCACAGCGGACUUAAAAUCCGCCGCCCUCAAACGGCUUACGGGUUCGAGUCCCGUCGUCCGCA
Molecule: transfer RNA, 85 nt
Filed under: Pannonibacter phragmitetus
Lineage: Bacteria; Pseudomonadati; Pseudomonadota; Alphaproteobacteria; Hyphomicrobiales; Stappiaceae
Rfam family: tRNA
About the family: Transfer RNA (tRNA) molecules are approximately 80 nucleotides in length. Their secondary structure includes four short double-helical elements and three loops (D, anti-codon, and T loops).
Source: Rfam by way of RNAcentral